This 433-nucleotide ribosomal RNA is filed under the name uncultured Clostridium sp. RNAcentral's name for it is "partial 16S ribosomal RNA". It matches the Rfam family "Bacterial small subunit ribosomal RNA", at positions 341 to 792 of the family's 1533-position model. The record is from RNAcentral. Lineage: Bacteria; Bacillati; Bacillota; Clostridia; Eubacteriales; Clostridiaceae.
ACGGAAGGCAGCAGUGGGAAUAUUGCACAAUGGGGGUAACCCUGAUGCAGCGACGCCGCGUGGGUGAUGAAGUAUUUCGGUACGUAAAGCCCUAUCAGCAGGGAAGAUAAUGACGGUACCUGACUAAGAAGCUCCGGCUAAAUACGUGCCAGCAGCCGCGGUAAUACGUAGGGGGCAAGCGUUAUCCGGAUUUACUGGGUGUAAAGGGAGUGUAGGUGGUCUGGCAAGUCAGAUGUGAAAGCCCGCGGCUCAACCGCGGGACUGCAUUUGAAACUGUCAGACUGGAGUGCAGGAGAGGAAAGUGGAAUUCCUAGUGUAGCGGUGAAAUGCGUAGAUAUUAGGAGGAACACCAGUGGCGAAGGCGGCUUACUGGACUGUAACUGACGUUGAGGCUCGAAAGCGUGGGGAGCAAACAGGAUUAGAUACCCUGGUA